GAUGAACGCUGGCGGCGUGCCUAAUACAUGCAAGUCGAGCGAACAGACGAGGAGCUUGCUCCUCUGACGUUAGCGGCGGACGGGUGAGUAACACGUGGAUAACCUACCUAUAAGACUGGGAUAACUUCGGGAAACCGGAGCUAAUACCGGAUAAUAUAUUGAACCGCAUGGUUCAAUAGUGAAAGACGGUUUUGCUGUCACUUAUAGAUGGAUCCGCGCCGCAUUAGCUAGUUGGUAAGGUAACGGCUUACCAAGGCAACGAUGCGUAGCCGACCUGAGAGGGUGAUCGGCCACACUGGAACUGAGACACGGUCCAGACUCCUACGGGAGGCAGCAGUAGGGAAUCUUCCGCAAUGGGCGAAAGCCUGACGGAGCAACGCCGCGUGAGUGAUGAAGGUCUUCGGAUCGUAAAACUCUGUUAUUAGGGAAGAACAAAUGUGUAAGUAACGAUGCACGUCUUGACGGUACCUAAUCAGGAAGCCACGGCUAACUACGU
Molecule: ribosomal RNA, 496 nt
Filed under: uncultured bacterium
Lineage: Bacteria
Description: partial 16S ribosomal RNA
Rfam family: Bacterial small subunit ribosomal RNA
Source: RNAcentral